Molecule: ribosomal RNA, 492 nt
Filed under: uncultured bacterium
Lineage: Bacteria
Description: bacterial SSU rRNA
Rfam family: Bacterial small subunit ribosomal RNA
Source: RNAcentral
CGUUAGCGGCGCGCCUAACACAUGCAAGUCGAGCGAGAAGGAAGCAAUUCCUGUAAAGCGGCGCACGGGUGAGUAACACGUAGGUAAUCUACCUCGAAGUGGUGGAUAACCUUCCGAAAGGAGGGCUAAUACAGCAUGAGACCACGGUUUCGAAAGAGAUUGAGGUCAAAGCGGGCCACUAUACAUAAGCUCGCGCUUCGAGAUGAGCCUGCGGCCCAUCAUGGUAGUUGGUAGGGUAAUGGCCUACCAAGCCGAAGACGGGUAGCUGGUCUGAGAGGAUGAUCAGCCACACUGGAACUGAGACACGGUCCAGACUCCUACGGGAGGCAGCAGUGGGGAAUCUUGCGCAAUGGGCGAAAGCCUGACGCAGCGGCGCCGCGUGAGUGAUGAAGGCCUUCGGGUUGUAAAGCUCUGUGGAGGGGGACGAAUAAGGGUUGGCUAACAUCCAGCUCGAUGACGGUACCCCUUUAGCAAGCACCGGCUAACUCUGUG